GGCUGUGACCUAGAGAGAAGAUAGAGAGAGAGAGAGAGUGGCGUGCUAGAGAGAAGGGGCUGCCAUUUCUAGAGAUAAGGAGGAGAAGAAAGAAAGGAAGAAGAAGAAGAAGAAGAAGAAGGGUUCAAGCUAGGGGUUUGAGCAAGGAGGUGCUUCUAGAUUGGAUUCUUGAUUUCUAUCAAGAGAGGCUCGUGGAGAGGUUGUGAAUUUACUAAGCUCAGACCUGAGGUAGCAAAUUGGUUUCUCCAUGGCACGCGUGGUGAUGUGGGAAGUUCUAUCGUCCUGGUGUGUAUGGCGUGGGGCAUCCUAUGGACGAAAAACGAUCACUUAAAGACGCCAUUUUAAUAAUGUUAUGUUUUUUGAGACUUUUUAAACUUAUCAAUGGGACUUAAAUUAUUGGUUUUUUUUUUUGGAACUUUGCAUAAAAACCCAUAUUUUCUUUUAAAACUAUUGGGCCCAACUUACAUGUUUUAAGCAAGAACACACUGAAACCUUUAUAAUAAGUGGCUUUCCUUUAAAAACCAACGAAAUGUUAAUGUUUCAUUAAGUACUAGUUUUGGGCGUUCUUUACACACAAUCCCAAAUUUCCCAAAUUUUUCUUACAUUGAGAGAAAUUCAUCAACUGAUUUUUUUUCUUUUAAUUUUUUCUAAUGAUACUACACUCCCCCAAACUUAUUUCUUUGUGUUUUCAAUUGGAGUGUAGUUCCUUUUCAAUAUACUUUUUUUUCUUUCUCUCUCAAUUUUUCUUCUUCUAUUGACACAAAUUUCCAAAUAUAAACCGCAUUACAAACCAUCCCCCAAUCACUUUUCAUAUGCUCAUGGUAUAUAAAAGGGAAGGAAAAAUAACAAUGUUUCAAAUAAGCUCAAAAGAAAUGUCAAACAAAAAGAAUCAAAUUAGGCUCAAAAUUGAGUAACUAAGGAUUUAAUACAUAAAGGUUGGCUUGAAAUGCUCAAUCGGUUCAAAGAAUUGCCUAAAUCAUCAUCCUAAGCAUGCAUAAUAUAGGAUUUCAUCUCAAAUAGCAAGCAAACAAGUUCUAGAAUAACAAAAAUUUCAUAAUUUAUUUUCAUUUUCAAAAUUCAGUAGGCAUAAAAAUUUCUCAAUUACACAAAAUUUAUUAAAAAUCAUGAUUGAGCUCUCAACUAUUUAAGUGGACUCAAGUAAAAAUGGAAAGAAAUAUUCAACCAAGCACAUAUUUUUAUAGCUUCAUUCCCAUUCAAUUUAUACAACACAUCAUUCCAUCAUAUUAUCAUUGGCUAAUCAUUGCCAACUUGAUUCAACUAACACUCUAAACAACCUAGACAAAACACACUAACACUAAAAAAAACAACUUAACACAAACAAUAAAUACCUUCCCCCAAACUUAACCUAAACAUUGUCUCCAAUGUUAAAAUAAAAGCUAAGGAAAAAAAAACUUACGUGACACCUCAUACUACUUAAAAUGAUAGGAUCAAGAUGGUGAAUCAAAAAUGGGAAAAGAAAACUUCUCGGGUUAGCCCAUAAUUCAUUAUGUCGGAGCCCGAAGUAGCGCUGCAACUCAAAUUAGUCUCAUAUUUAAUAGAAAUUAAAACUAAAUAAAAAUAAAUAAACAAAAUACUAAAAUUAAAAUGUUCAUAAUCCAAAACUUAAAUAAAACUAAUAAAAAAAUAAAAUGCAAAUAAAAGAUUGGAAUGCCUCCAAACGUGCUGUCGCUAACGUCAUUUAGCCGGACGCUUGUUUUCUUUCAUAUUCAACUUGGAUCAAGUCCUCCCCUCACAUCCUUGAGAGCAAUAGUAUCAUGAAUUGGCUCUCAUUUCUGGUGAUUAGAAAUUGAUGGAACUUUACCCCGCUCAUGUAACAUCUGAAUCCUUUCACUGAAAAACCUUUUAAAAGGACGACUCCUUUUCGCAUUCCAGUUUUAACCACACAUCUUUGCUUAGAGACUUCCAACUUGUUCUCUCCUUGUUUUACCACUUUAACUCUACAACAAGUUGGAAUUUCUGUUGCUGCAAAAAAAUUAAAUAUUACCUCCUCUUUUUGCACU
Molecule: long non-coding RNA, 2021 nt
Organism: Humulus lupulus (European hop)
Lineage: Eukaryota; Viridiplantae; Streptophyta; Magnoliopsida; Rosales; Cannabaceae
Exons: 4
Source: RefSeq, a predicted model, not a curated record